RNAcentral lists this long non-coding RNA (661 nucleotides) under Trifolium pratense (red clover). RNAcentral's name for it is "long non-coding RNA (TPRA_LNC009802)". Lineage: Eukaryota; Viridiplantae; Streptophyta; Magnoliopsida; Fabales; Fabaceae. The record is from RNAcentral.
CAACAAAGUGUUGGACUCCUUUUGGGACCAUAGUCUGCUGUGAUAGCGAGGGUAGAGACAGGAAACAUAAUUCAUGAAUUAGCAGCAAGCCAAACACAAGAAUGGCCCAGGCAGAAAAAACCCAAUGAAGCCACCAAAUUAUCCCAGCAACCAACUCUACCUUCUUCUGCAAUAAACUAUGUCCCCAAAUAACUUCAAAAUAACAGGAGAAAGAAUUCAGAAAUGGAGAAGUGCAUCAGUUUGUUUUUAGAAGAUACGAUCCCUUUUCUGUACCGCAUCAAAUUAUCAAGGCUCCCGGUUAAUGCAUCAAUAUGAAAAACAUUAAGAAUUCAGCAGAAGCUACGCAGCAACAUGAUAACAUAAGUUCCUAAACUUGCAUUCUACUCUGAAAGGAGUCUUGCAUGUGUAAAUAAACAACCAUCUGAUCAUCCCUAUAAUUAACCAACCAAAGAAGAAAAACCCACAGAAAAUAAAAUGACAACCACCAGCCAAAACAAUCAUUAUUACAAGGAAUGUCCCACAGGUAAACCACAUACAUGUAGAAGGAAUUGAAAUAACCAGGAGUUGAAUAACAAAAAAAACCACAUAACCAAUGACACCACGAACUUUUUUCAUCAGUAAACAGUAUCUUUCCACGAUGUCGGGUCAGCUUCUGCAGGUA